RNAcentral lists this long non-coding RNA (267 nucleotides) under Lathyrus oleraceus (garden pea). RNAcentral describes it as "Pisum sativum (pea) long non-coding RNA (PSAT_LNC029572)". The record is from RNAcentral. Lineage: Eukaryota; Viridiplantae; Streptophyta; Magnoliopsida; Fabales; Fabaceae.
GACAAUUGGUGAACACCACAUUGCUCAAUCUUUCGUCGUUCUUCAAAAACAUCUCAAAACAAAUCAAACUAACUUCUCGCCCCCGAGCGAUCGAAACCAAAACAUCAAACACAUCAAAUCAACUCAUCACCCCCGCGUGACCAAAACCUCUUUGAAAGAACACUGUCAAUCCUUUCUAAUGCGCAUAACAAACCAAUGCUUAAGCCUCCGCCGAGAGUAGACAAGCCAGCGUUUAGCCUUUAGAACGCGAUCUACACAGUCGUUCAU